This 64-nucleotide transfer RNA is filed under the name Curculionoidea sp. 9 KM-2017. RNAcentral's name for it is "tRNA-Ala". It matches the Rfam family "tRNA". From Rfam's summary of the family: Transfer RNA (tRNA) molecules are approximately 80 nucleotides in length. Their secondary structure includes four short double-helical elements and three loops (D, anti-codon, and T loops). The record is from RNAcentral. Lineage: Eukaryota; Metazoa; Arthropoda; Insecta; Coleoptera.
AGGAUAAUAGUUAAAAAUAACAUUUAAUUUGCAAUUAAAAAGUACUGCUAAACAGUUUAUCUUA